Spinacia oleracea (spinach) is the source of this 1706-nucleotide long non-coding RNA. RefSeq lists it as uncharacterized. The record is from RefSeq and is a predicted model, not a curated record. NCBI's taxonomy places the organism in Eukaryota, Viridiplantae, Streptophyta, Magnoliopsida, Caryophyllales, Amaranthaceae. The transcript is spliced from 4 exons.
GGAUCUUCUUGUUGGGUGGCUGGCUUCCAGUAGAUUUAUUAUGGUCGGCACAUUCCUUGGUGUGUGAAUGCAAGUCAAUACUUUGAGUUCCGCAUCUGGUUUUGAUUUCUGUAUGGUUCUUCUCUUGUAUGCUACAGAUCUUCUUGCUGGCCGGUAAAUAGCGGUGACCAGGGGAGCAAUCAGACCAGUCAUUAUCAAUGCUGAUAUCACCAUGAUCGAAAAUGAUGCAUCAUCUAUUACCUGCAACACCAUGAUUGAUCUCAGAAGACGAAGAUUUAUCAAAGUGGACAAUCAUUUCAACAAGACCUUUGGUGUUCAUGAGCAACCCGAGGGUGAUUCCUUCACGGAUUGGCAUAUUGUAGAAGUAAGCGACAGCAGUAGUGCCAGCAACCUUGCCAGAACAAGCCAAUAUGAUGACAAGCAUCAGAUUACGCCAUACUUUAAAGUCACCAACUUGACGAACAUCAGUCUUAAGACCACUGAUGGCGAAAAACAGAGGAAGUAGAAGUCCUGAUACGAAAUCUUCAAGCUUUUCGAUAAGGGUUACCCCUAAAGGUCCAUUUGGGAUGAUAAGUCCAAAAACAAAGGCCCCAAACACAGAAUGAGUUCCUAUAGCAUCAGUAAUAAACCCUGAUAUCAUAACCCCUGUGAGUAUAAGGCAUAUGUAAAAAUCACUGAACGGUUCACCCUCAGGUGUACGGCGGACCAUCCACAUAAUGGCGGGUCGAACCAAGAAGAUACACACCACUACAAAGGCAGCACUCGAGAGAAUCACCCAGACUGAAGUCAAACUCGAAGAGCUGGUCUCGGCUAGGGCUAUGGCUAAGGCUAAGAGCACCCAAGCACAAAUAUCAUUGACAAGUGCUGAUGACAUGGCAAUUCGUCCUAUCUCGGUAUUGAUGAGCUUGAGCUCUGCAAGAACUCGAGCUAGUACAGGGAAGGCGGUGACAGCGAGAGCGACACCAAGGAAAAGCACAAAGGUUCCAGGGUGGGUGCUGUCACCUCUUUGCAUUAUGAGGGAGAAGGUGCAUCCUAUGAUAAAAGGUAAGAAAAAGGGACCCUGUUGAACCAGCACCUAUCAUAGGUUAACCAGCCUACCUACACAGGUCUAUGCUUGAGUCAUUCCCAAGCAUUUCACAGCUGAUGGGGCUUGACACUCAAGAGGGGAAUGGUGUGAGCUUUGGUGUCGUGAUUCGAGAUGCAAAUGGCCAACUUCUGGUGGCUGGGGUGAAGCGAUCUGCUACUCACUGGGGACCAGAACUGGCAGAGGCAGGAGCUGCUCUCUAUGUGAUCGAAUUGGCAAGGCGGUUGGGCUAUGAUUGUGUGGUUUUAGAGUGUGACGCGCUGAAGGUUGUUCGAGCAAUUCAGACAAGGCAGGAAGGUGACGCUCCAGUGUUUCUACUAUAUGAUGAGAUUGUUGGAAUUAGUGAGCUUUUUACGCAGUUUAUGUGUUCUCAUAUUAGAAGGGGGUAAUACUGUUCCCCAUUGUAUUGCAAGGUGGGAUACCGGUAAUAACCCGGAACGUAUUUGUAUGAAUUCUUUCCCUCAAAUUCUACAAACUUCGGCGGAUAUUGACCUCCUAUAAUGAAAUGCUUACUCUUCCUCUCAAAAAAAAUGACCAAUUUAAGUGCAAUAGUAAUUGUCAACCUCUUAUUUAUAUACGGUCGUUGAAAUCUUAAUUAUGGUUAAAUAUCAAUAAUUUUUAU